CUAGAUUUUGUUCACUUCGUAGUACUGGUGGAAGAAGCAAAGAGGCAAAAAUCAAGAAUUAUGCUAUUUAUUAGAUGAAAGAUUUCUUUGGGAAAAUAUGUCAAUUUCUUACCAUAUAUUUUGAUUGGAGAUGCUUGCCUUUUUCUUAGGGAAAAGAUUUUUCAUCUUCUCCAUAUUUAUUGUCAACAGUAUCCUCUUCUUAAUGAUGGAUAUCAAUAUCCAUCGUUGGUGAGCAACUCUUCUUUGGCAAGAUAUAGGAUUGGGGGUUGGGGUUAUUAACUUGGUUUCAUGAUGUGCAGUUCCCCCAACCCUAGAAGUCUAGAGGGAGGGGUUGGUGCACAUGGGACAAUUAGUGAAGGAUCCAGGGCUUGAAGGAAGGAGGGGCUCAUUCCCCCUUCUUCCUCCUUCCUCCUCUAUUUCUCUUCUUCUUCCUCCUUUUCUUCUUCCCCCUCUUCAUCCAUAGUUGAAAUUUUUAGGGGAGCUUUAGGGGGCUUCAUGGGCUUCAUGGGGGUAGGGGCUCCAGCCCCUAUGGUGGAUCCCCCUGAGGGAGGUUGUGACAUCCCUGAUGCAGAGGCAGCAUAAUGGAUGAGGUAGUGGGCAAGCAUAAUGUUGGGAUCGGAGAUCCUGAACAGGUUAGAGAGAUAAGACAUACAACUUUUAAACAAAUGGUCAAAAGUCCCCUCCUCCAAGUCCUAUGUCUCUAUUUAUAGGUGGGGAGGAUCUCUAUUUAUAGGGGGGAGGAGGUGGUUGUUUAAAUUUAUUCGAUUGGUAGGGAAGAAUAUUAUAAACAAGUCUCUGGUAUUUACAUUGAGGCCCUUGGAUAUUGCAAUUAAAUUACUAAGCCUCACAAAUAAGCCCUCAGACCCCUAUUUCAGACCUCUGUUACACACAAAGGGGUCCUAGCCUUGGGCCACCUAAGCCGCACCCCAACACACAACAUAGGAUAGUGGAUUGGAGCUAGCAGAGCCAAAUAGAGAGAUAAAAAAUGUUAGAGAUAAGGUUAUGAGGGGAGAGGGAAAUCUAGCCCACUUAUGCUACAUCUAAUCAAACAAUAUGGAGGAUACGAAACAUAUAAGAUAGACUCCUACUUGAACUGCCCAAAUAUAGUUGUAAUUCGAGUAGAUAUCAUACAUUAUAACCGACUAGUCGACAUACCAUGCAACCCUGCCCCUGUCGGUGUUUUAUACCUGGCAACCUACCAAGGGAGUACCCGAGGUAGAGUUUUGGUUGGUGGGUGUCGCCGAAAUCAAGAGCUCGAUGGUGUAC
This 1266-nucleotide long non-coding RNA is filed under the name Setaria viridis. Its description in RNAcentral is "long non-coding RNA (SVIR_LNC007696)". The record is from RNAcentral. Lineage: Eukaryota; Viridiplantae; Streptophyta; Magnoliopsida; Poales; Poaceae.